GACGAACGCUGGCGGCGUGCUUAACACAUGCAAGUCGAACGGAAAGGCCCUGCUUUUGUGGGGUGCUCGAGUGGCGAACGGGUGAGUAACACGUGAGUAACCUGCCCUUGACUUUGGGAUAACUUCAGGAAACUGGUGCUAAUACCGGAUAGGAGCUCCUGCUGCAUGGUGGGUGUUGGAAAGUUUCGGCGGUUGGGGAUGGACUCGCGGCUUAUCAGCUUGUUGGUUGGGUAGUGGCUUACCAAGGCUUUGACGGGUAGCCGGCCUGAGAGGGUGACCGGCCACAUUGGGACUGAGAUACGGCCAAGACUCCUACGGGAGGCAGCAGUGGGGAAUAUUGCACAAUGGGCGGAAGCCUGAUGCAGCAACGCCGCGUGCGGGAUGACGGCCUUCGGGUUGUAAACCGCUUUCGCCUGUGGCGAAGCGUGAGUGACGGUAAUGGGUAAAGAAGCACCGGCUAACUACGUG
This 468-nucleotide ribosomal RNA is filed under the name uncultured bacterium. RNAcentral describes it as "partial 16S ribosomal RNA". It matches the Rfam family "Bacterial small subunit ribosomal RNA", at positions 28 to 507 of the family's 1533-position model. The record is from RNAcentral.